AUCAGGGUUCAUCUUGGUUUUGAACACCCACUUGACCCCAAUCACAUGCUUAUCAACUGGUCUGUCAACUAGUUCCCAAGUCUCAUUCUUUUCAAUCAUAUUUAGUUCUUCCUUCAUUGCUGCCAACCAGUCCUGUGAACUCACAGCAUCAACAAAAUUCGAUGGCUCCAGUAUGGCAAAGUUACAUCUAGCAUAUACAUCAGCAAGGGGUCUUGUCUUUAGCACAAUAUUUUCUGUGUCUGAGUCACCAUCCUGAUCUGGACCAACUAGUUCCUCUCCCUUUGUGAUAGUGUCCUCAAUUUCAUGAGCAACCAGCCUUGGAACUUGCUGGUUUUCCAGGCUUCUUGUAUCCCAAUUUCAGGUAGCACUUUCAUCAAUUUUAAUAUCUCUGCUGGAUAUUAUCUUCUUGGUUUGUGGAUUAUAAACUCGAUAUCCUUUUGCAUUACUACAAUAGCCAACUAAAACACCAAUCUCAGCUUUUUGGCUAAGCUUAUCCCUCUUUGCUUCAGGUAUAUGAGUAUAACAAACACUUGCAAAAACCUUCAAAUGUGCCACAUCUAGUUUUGUUCCAUACCAGGCUUCAUAGGGAGUUUUUCUUUCCAAUGCUUUAGUAGGAAGUCGGUUUAAAGAUACACAGCUGUGCUAAUAGCUUCUGCUCAGAAUUCUUUGGGAAAAUUCUUUUCAAACAUGAGACAUCUUGUCAUCUCCAUGACUGUUCUGUUCUUCCUCUCACAGAUGCCAUUUUGCUGAGGUGAGUAUGGGAUUGUGAGCUGAUGUUUUAUCCCCAUAUCAUCACAAAAAUUAUCAAAGUGGUUGCAUUUAUACUCAAUUCCAUUAUCAGUCCUAAUAGCCUUUAUCUUGCUGUCACAUUCAUUUUCCACUUUUUUUUGAAUUUUUGAAAUACAGCAGCCAUAUCUGAUUUCAGUUUUAGAAAAAACACCAAACACAUUCUGGUUGAAUCAUCAAUAAAGAGUAUGAAGUACUUGCUGCCAUUAAUUGUCUGUGUGUUCAUUGGACCAGACACGUCAGAAUGUAUCAAUUCCAAUUUAUUCAUAGCUCUCCUUGACAGAUUUUUAGGAAAUGGCAUUCUGUUCAGUUUGCCCUUUUGACACACCUCACAUAUACAUGUUUCAUCACCUACAUCUGGAAUGUUUUCAACAAGUUCUAGAUUGUACAAUUGCUUCAAUGAUGUGUAAUUAACAUGACCAAAUCGUUUGUGCCAUAAAGAGGAAUCAACCACAGUGCAAGAAAAUGCCUGAUUUUUCACAUUUUUCCAUUCCAAUGGAAAGCUUUUUUGUUUCAUUUUGACAGACAUUAGCUCCUGAUUUUUUUGAAUCAGAUAUGGUACAGCCAUCUCCUUUGAAGAUCAAUGUAUAUUGCUUCUAAAUUAAUUGACCAACACUAAUUAAAUUCUG
This 1415-nucleotide long non-coding RNA is filed under the name Olea europaea subsp. europaea. Lineage: Eukaryota; Viridiplantae; Streptophyta; Magnoliopsida; Lamiales; Oleaceae. The record is from RNAcentral.